GAUGAAGAACGUAGUGAAAUGCGAUAAGUAAUGUGAAUUGCAGAAUUCAGUGAAUCAUCGAAUCUUUGAACGUACAUUGCGCCCGCCAGUAUUCUGGCGGGCAUGCCUGUUCGAGCGUCAUUUCAACCAUCAAGCCCCAGGCUUGUGUUGGGGACCUGCGGCUGCCGCAGGCCCUGAAAACCAGUGGCGGGCUCGCUGUCACACCGGGCGUAGUAGAUUUUAUCUCGCUCAGGGCGUGCUGCGGGUUCCGGCCGUUAAAAAGCCUUUUUUACCCAAGGUUGACCUCGGAUCAGGUAGGAAUACCCGCUGAACUUAAGCAUAUCAAUAAGCGGAGGA
Molecule: unclassified non-coding RNA, 336 nt
Filed under: soil metagenome
Description: partial contains 5.8S ribosomal RNA, internal transcribed spacer 2, and large subunit ribosomal RNA
Rfam family: 5.8S ribosomal RNA (bases 1-120)
Source: RNAcentral